RNAcentral lists this long non-coding RNA (306 nucleotides) under Homo sapiens (human). Its description in RNAcentral is "long non-coding RNA NONHSAT234805". Lineage: Eukaryota; Metazoa; Chordata; Mammalia; Primates; Hominidae. The record is from RNAcentral.
AGCGACAAGUUUAUACUAGUUUAUGCUUUUGAUAUUAGUAUUUUAAGAUACAUCAGUUGAUCCCGAAACCUGACCAUUAGAAUUACUCUGAGGAGCUUUUAAAAUAGAUUCCUGGAGCCUACCCCUGGAAAAUUGUCUCGCUGGAUCUCGAGAGGGGCCUGAGAGUUCUGGCUUUUUUUUUUUGUUUGGUUGGUUUUGUUUUGUUUUGUUUUGUUUUUUCUUUAAAGCUCUCCUGGUGAUUCUAAUAGCCAGUAUUGGGUAAUCAAUGUUUUAGCUAAAUGUGACACUGGUUUGAGAGUAGGCAAC